CCUACGGGAGGCAGCAGUGAGGAAUAUUGGUCAAUGGCCGUAAGGCUGAACCAGCAAAGUCGCGUGAAGGAAGAAGGAUCUAUGGUUUGUAAACUUCUUUUAUAGGGGAGUAAAGGUGUCCACGUGUGGAUAUUUGAAUGUACCCUAUGAAUAAGCAUCGGCUAACCCCGUGCCAGCAGCCGCGGUAAUACGGAGGAUGCGAGCGUUAUCCGGAUUUAUUGGGUUUAAAGGGUGCGUAGGUUGUUUUUUAAGUCAGCGGUGAAAGUUUGUGGCUCAACCAUAAAAUUGCCGUGGAAACUGGAGGACUUGAGUGUGUUUGAGGUAAGCGGAAUGCGUGGUGUAGCGGUGAAAUGCAUAGAUAUCACGCAGAACACCGAUUGCGAAGGCAGCUUACUAGGCCAUAACUGACACUGAGGCACGAAAGCGUGGGGAGCAAACAGGAUUAGAUACCCUUGUAGUC
Molecule: ribosomal RNA, 460 nt
Filed under: uncultured bacterium
Lineage: Bacteria
Description: partial 16S ribosomal RNA
Rfam family: Bacterial small subunit ribosomal RNA
Source: RNAcentral